RNAcentral lists this long non-coding RNA (2311 nucleotides) under Homo sapiens (human). RNAcentral's name for it is "HSALNT0197208". The record is from RNAcentral. Lineage: Eukaryota; Metazoa; Chordata; Mammalia; Primates; Hominidae.
AAUCAUGAGUCAGUAUGUGCCAGCUGUAUUUAAGACCAAAGGCUUAAUGUAUCCACAUCUGGGGUAGGAGUCAGAUGUAAAACAAGCCCAACAUUGCCUUGGAAGUUCUAUAGGGAAUGGACUCUUUCGUGGCUAGAUUUGAAUCCCACGUACAACAGAAGCUUCCAAAUGCGUUGUUUGGCCACAAUGAAGAAUCCUUAUUGAAAUAUCCCUUGAAUGGCAUAAUUGAAUAGACGUAAUUGCAAAGCUCUGCACCAUGUAAAAUUGGAAAUGGACUCUUGUGUAUGUAGAUGAGAAGAACUGAGCAUGAGAGGGUGCUGAUAACAGGGGAUAUGGGCACCGCAUAACCUAAACAGACUUUGACACCACAACAAAAGAGAGACAGAUACUGUAGAACAAUGACAGGUCCCUCCCAGGAUCCUUGAUCUGAUCUGUCAGCCUUUACCACUGAGCACGGAAGCACCAGGAGACAUCAGGAUCAAGAAAUUACUUGGUUCCAGUGCCAUGGAGACCAGGUGAUGCACACAUGCAAAUUCAGUGGCCGUGCAGAAGUUUCAAGAUCAGGGCGAGGGAAAAGACAGACAGUAAAUGACACUGCAGAGGCAACACUAACAAGCAAGGUUCUGCAGGGGCUGAACAUCAUAUUCAUCAAACUUUGGAGUUUGCCCUCAGAGAUCCCCCUCCUGGAGCAGGGGAAUUCCUGAUCUAUCGACUUCUGUGUCAAUAUUCAGAACUACAGUCAGGAGGACCGGCUUGUUUUCCCUUCUUCUCCAUACUCAAGAUGACACUAUAAUGAGAGAGUUGGCUGCAAAAUCCCUUACAAGAGAUGAUGGUCAUCACAGUCAGAGAUAUGUCAAAGCACAGGCAGUGCAGCCUGGGUGGAAAUGUGGUUUGGAAAUUCAGAAGGAGUUUACCACUUUGAUAACAGAUGCAUUGUGUCAUUUCUUCUGGUGGUCAUUUUGACAUCGAAGCAUUAACCUUGGAUUUUGCUAUUUCUUUUUAAUUUUAAUUCCCUUCUAUUUGGCCUUAUUAUUAAUCCUGAGAAGGCUUUUUUUUCUUUUUCAAAAAACACAAAUAUUUGGUAUUGAUCUUACCAGGGAGAACAGAAGAGUAUGGCCAUGUUACCUGAGAGGAGUUAGUGCUAUUGCAGCAUAGGGUGGAACAAUUGAGGCUUCAUUUGUGCAGGGAGAGAAUUCAGUCUUCUUCAAAGCUGAUCUCUCUGUGUGUGUGUGUGUGUGUGUGUGUGUGUGUGUGUGUGUGUGUGUGGUGUGUUUGUGUGUAUCUGCCUAAAAGCUAACACCAGGAUCUCAUUUUAUCUGUAAUUGAAACGUGAACUAAUGGAUUAAUAUUAUUAGUCUGUCACCUAUAGACAAAAAGAGAGUCUUCGGUGAUCAGAAAUCAACUUAAUAUACUCUAAGCACUUUUAACAUCUUACACCAUUUAAACCACACAGACACACGCAUGGGGUGAGUGUAAAAACAAAUAGACACAUCAUAGAAGACAAUUAGCAAUUUUGUCAGAAGUCUUAAAAUAUAUUUCCACUAUGCAUUCAUAUUUCACUUCUAAAAAUAUAUCCUAAGGAAAUAAUUUCAAUGCUGCAGUUAACUAUUGCUUCUGCCUGCCCUGGAAAGGUUGUUCCUUCUGCUACUGGCACCCAAAUUCCCUUUGGGAAUGUCUCUCUUGCCCACUCUCCAUCCAUGUGUUUAGGUGGGGCCAAUGCCUUCCUCUGCUCAGAGAGCAGCCCCAGUGUCAGGUCUAAGAAAUUAGUGAAUUUCAUCGUUUUGCAUUGUAAUCUGUUCAAAGCUGAGAAUAAGGAUCAGUUAAAUUCUAAGCCAGGGAUGUCCCAGAACGUUAAUAGAACUGUGGAAAUAAGGUCUCUUUUUAAUUACAUGUAUUGCUGGAAGGAUAUGAGCUUGGAAAGGUAGGGUACCACCACACGGAGAGAACCUAGCUAAAAAUGUAUCUGUCACAGAAAAUAGUAGGGCUGAGCACGUGAACCUAGGAUGGACUCCAGGCCUCUCUCACCGUCAGCUAGAAUCUUGGCUUGAGGAAGACAGACUUUCUAUGUGCAAUGCUGUGUCUCUGCUACCAAGAAUGUCACUUGGGAAAUGCUCAUAAAUGUCUGUGGGAUAAAGACUUUGGGGAACAAAAUCCUGAUGAGGCCCCUUGAGUACCUCAACGAAGCCAUUUCUGAAGCCAAUGUACUCCUUUCCAGUUAUGACAGUUAACAUAUUCUUGUGUGGGUGUGUGUUUGUUUUCUAGCUUAAGCCAGCUUGAAUUGGGUUCAUAACAAAUAAACAUUUCAAAUACA